UACGGGGGGAGCAAGCGUUGUUCGGAUUUACUGGGCGUAAAGGGCGCGUAGGCGGUCAUGACAAGUCACUUGUGAAAUCUCCGGGCUUAACUCGGAACGGUCAAGUGAUACUGUCAGACUAGAGUGCAGAAGGGGCAACUGGAAUUCUCGGUGUAGUGGUGAAAUGCGUAGAUAUCGGGAGGAACACCAGUGGCGAAGGCGACUUCCUGGCCUGUUCUUGACGCUGAGGCGCGAAAGCUAGGGGAGCAAACGGG
RNAcentral lists this ribosomal RNA (254 nucleotides) under uncultured bacterium. RNAcentral's name for it is "partial 16S ribosomal RNA". It matches the Rfam family "Bacterial small subunit ribosomal RNA", at positions 524 to 776 of the family's 1533-position model. The record is from RNAcentral.